UACGUAGGGUGCAAGCGUUGUCCGGAAUUAUUGGGCGUAAAGAGCUCGUAGGCGGUUCGUCGCGUCGGCUGUGGAAACCUGAGGCUCAACCUCAGGCCUGCAGUCGAUACGGGCGGACUUGAGUACUGCAGGGGAGACUGGAAUUCCUGGUGUAGCGGUGAAAUGCGCAGAUAUCAGGAGGAACACCGGUGGCGAAGGCGGGUCUCUGGGCAGUAACUGACGCUGAGGAGCGAAAGCGUGGGGAGCGAACAGG
This 253-nucleotide ribosomal RNA is filed under the name uncultured bacterium. Its description in RNAcentral is "partial 16S ribosomal RNA". It matches the Rfam family "Bacterial small subunit ribosomal RNA", at positions 524 to 776 of the family's 1533-position model. The record is from RNAcentral.